UAAAUGAUAUCUGAAUUUGUUUGUUUCGCCUUUUAUUAAAAAAAUUGCUAUGCGUAUAAGCAUAAAACUACAUACUUGCGCGACGCCUUUUAGUUUUACUGAACACUGCGCAGACUAAGAAAUGUUUUUACAAGUGCAAAAUGUUCUAUGAUAGAUAUCAUUUUGUCAGACACUUUUUGUUUUUUGAUUUGGUUCUUAUAACAUGCCAAAAAUCUGUAUAUUUAAUAGAGUUUAACAUUAAAUUAAGCGUUUUACUCUUAACAGACGUAUAACCAAC
This 277-nucleotide long non-coding RNA is filed under the name Mytilus galloprovincialis (Mediterranean mussel). The record is from RNAcentral. Lineage: Eukaryota; Metazoa; Mollusca; Bivalvia; Mytilida; Mytilidae.